AUGGCCGGUGGUAGGAAUCCCGAGAACAAGAACACGGAUGGACGGAGCUGCUCCAUGGCGCCGAGGCAGGGGAGGAAGCGGCCAUCGUCCAUGACGUCCCGGUGCUUGAGCGAGGACGGCAUCCUAGAUCUGGGAGGCAGAGACGACGAACUGAGGAAGUUAGGAAUGGCUGUGAGGAGGAGAUGGAGUAGAUGGACGCACCUGAGUCGUCGGAGCCACGCCGAUUGA
RNAcentral lists this ribosomal RNA (228 nucleotides) under Triticum aestivum (bread wheat). RNAcentral describes it as "partial small subunit ribosomal RNA". The record is from RNAcentral. Lineage: Eukaryota; Viridiplantae; Streptophyta; Magnoliopsida; Poales; Poaceae.